RNAcentral lists this long non-coding RNA (228 nucleotides) under Pan troglodytes (chimpanzee). Its description in RNAcentral is "long non-coding RNA NONPTRT012816". The record is from RNAcentral. Lineage: Eukaryota; Metazoa; Chordata; Mammalia; Primates; Hominidae.
CGCACAUCCAUCCUUCACACGCACAUCCAUCCUUCACACCCACAUCCAUCCUUCACACGCACAUCCAUCCUUCACACGCACAUCCAUCCUUCACACGCACAUCCAUCCUUCACACCCACAUCCAUCCUUCACACCCACAUCCAUCCUUCACACGCACAUCCAUCCUUCACACCCACAUCCAAACAUUUUUUUAAUCCAGCUUUUCAUCUCCAUCCUCAGUGCCAUCCU